CUUCUAAAUUUAUAAUAGAAUUUUAUUUUUUAGUCAAAAAGCUAAAAUAUAUUUAAAAGACGAGAAGACCCUAUAAAUCUUUAUAUUUAGGUUAUUAUAAUUUUAUAGAUUUUUUUUGUUAUAAUAAUUGAUAAUAUUUUAUUGGGGUGAUAUUAAAAUUUGAUAAACUUUUAAUUGUUUAAAUCAUUAAUUUAUGAAUAAUUGAUCCGUUAUUAGCGAUUAAAAAAAUAAGUUACCUUAGGGAUAACAG
Molecule: ribosomal RNA, 250 nt
Filed under: Chrysomya megacephala (oriental latrine fly)
Lineage: Eukaryota; Metazoa; Arthropoda; Insecta; Diptera; Calliphoridae
Description: partial 16S ribosomal RNA
Source: RNAcentral